GGGGCCGCACAAGCAGUGGAUUAUGUGGUUAAUUCGAAGCAACGCGAAGAACCUUACCAGGGUUUGACAUCCAACUAACGAAGCAGAGAUGCAUUAGGUGCCCUUCGGGAAAGUUGAGACAGGUGGUGCAUGGUUGUCGUCAGCUCGUGUCGUGAGAUGUUGGGUUAAGUCCCGCAACGAGCGCAACCCUUAUUGCUAGUUGCUACGCAAGAGCACUCUAGCGAGACUGCCGUUGACAAAACGGAGGAAGGUGGGGACGACGUCAAAUCAUCAUGCCCCUUAUAUCCUGGGCUACACACGUAAUACAAUGGCAUUAAACAGAGGGAAGCGAAGGAGCGAUCCGGAGCAAAUCCCUAAAAGGUGUCUCAGUUCGGAUUGCAGUCUGCAACUCGACUACAUGAAGUCGGAAUCGCUAGUAAUCGCGGAUCAGCAUGUCGCGGUCGAAUACGUUCCCGGGUCUU
RNAcentral lists this ribosomal RNA (461 nucleotides) under uncultured Oscillospiraceae bacterium. RNAcentral describes it as "bacterial SSU rRNA". It matches the Rfam family "Bacterial small subunit ribosomal RNA", at positions 917 to 1382 of the family's 1533-position model. Lineage: Bacteria; Bacillati; Bacillota; Clostridia; Eubacteriales; Oscillospiraceae. The record is from RNAcentral.